GACGAACGCUGGCGGUGUGCUUAACACAUGCAAGUCGAACGGUAAGGCCCUUUCGGGGGUACACGAGUGGCGAACGGGUGAGUAACACGUGAGUAACCUGCCCUCAUCUCUGGGAUAACAGUCGGAAACGGUUGCUAAUACUGGAUAUGAGCCUGCAAGGCAUCUUGUGGGUUGGAAAGAUUUUUUGGUUGGGGAUGGACUCGCGGCCUAUCAGCUUGUUGGUGAGGUAGUGGCUCACCAAGGCUUCGACGGGUAGCCGGCCUGAGAGGGCGACCGGCCACAUUGGGACUGAGAUACGGCCCAAACUCCUACGGGAGGCAGCAGUGGGGAAUAUUGCACAAUGGACGGAAGUCUGAUGCAGCAACGCCGCGUGCGGGAUGACGGCCUUCGGGUUGUAAACCGCGUUCAAUUGUGACGAAGCUUUUUGUGACGGUAGCAGUAGAAGAAGCACCGGCUAACUACGUG
RNAcentral lists this ribosomal RNA (465 nucleotides) under uncultured bacterium. RNAcentral describes it as "partial 16S ribosomal RNA". It matches the Rfam family "Bacterial small subunit ribosomal RNA", at positions 28 to 507 of the family's 1533-position model. The record is from RNAcentral.